Molecule: long non-coding RNA, 1572 nt
Filed under: Neogobius melanostomus (round goby)
Lineage: Eukaryota; Metazoa; Chordata; Actinopteri; Gobiiformes; Gobiidae
Description: lncRNA (ENSNMLG00000011648.1)
Source: RNAcentral
AUGGACAAAUCCUGUUAUCAAGAAGACGUGAAAAGCUUUGAGUGGUCAUCCCCAUCUGAGCUUGACAGGAGGAUUUAUGAGGAACAGAGUUUGCUGUCUGCUGUGUCACUGGAUCAACUGUCCGCAUCUAGAGUGUUCAAUGAAUCUGUGGUCAACAAUGCGUCUGAAGCUAGGCUGUCCACCCUGGCCUCCCUCUCCACCUCCAUGGACCCCCUCUCCCCAAGUCAAGCUUUUGUGUCCAGCAUAAACGAACCAGACGUCGGAGGCUGCUACCUCACUGUGCCUCUGCAAGGAAAGUCUUCCACGCCGCAGGUGACCCUUACAAAACAAAAGAAGGAUGCCGGCAGUGACCGGUCGUAUGCUGAGCUGGAUGGCUCGCAGGUCUCCUGGGAUGUGUCCAUUAUCAAAUCGGAGAGCCCUAAAGUCACUAUGGAGUUGAGUGCUGUAGAGUCUGCUUUGAGUCCAAAAGCACAGUCUUCUUCACAGGCUCAAGCUGGACUUUCUCCCUGAUCAGUUUUGUUUUGUGUGUAGUGUUUUAUAAUAUUUGAAAAUAAAAUAUUGGAAGCUUUCUUUAAAUUGUGGUGAAACAUAAUUUUUUAAUAGAAAGGCUUUAUAUAUAAAAGAGCUGAAUAACAUUUACAACAUGUAUUAACAAGAACUGUAGUGAACCAUUGCUUUUCUCUCACAAUGGAUUAAAAGGUGCCUCUGUGUCAAUGUCAUGCUCCUGUAAGAUUAAUAAAACUUUAAGCACAUGCACAUGAUGUAUUUUAAGUAUGCAAUUCAUGUUACCUGAUUCAGUUUCUUAAACUCUACAACUUGGAAGAAGACAUGUUCCAAAAUGUGCUUGGCAUCUCUCUUUUCUUUGUCCAACUUCGCAGUUACGCCCAAAAUCUCUCCACAUUUUCGCACAUAAAACUCAAGAUCAUCCUCGGAACCUGGAAAGUAUUUAAACAUUAAGACCUAUUGGUCUACAAAUAACCGAACAGAAUUUGGAACUGAACUUACAUUUGUUGGUGAGUUGUGCAAGGCGAACUUUCUCUGAUGAGAAAGAUUCAUCCAGAUCAAACAGAUCGAGCAUUGGUGGAGGUAAAUCACUUAAAGAAGGCGGAAAGACCUACGUGAUAAUACAAUUUUAGAUGUAUAACUCAUUUACAAUAAUGAACGAUACACUACAAAUUGAAUGACAAACUUACAGCAGGCUGGAGCUGUGGAAGUGGGGUCUCAAACUGAGGGGUAAUCAACUGUAGAGGCUCACAUUUAACAGUAAGCUGCUUGUAGGCGCUGAAAGCAAACAGGAUAAUUUUUUACAUAAUUCAAAUUAAACUUAUGGUAAAAUCGUUCCAUCUUACCUGAUAACUUGGGGCAAAGUGUCAGUGGACAUGUUAAAAAGGGACAUAUCGAGGAGUGAUGUGAAGUCCCUGGGGUUUUCGUCACCUUCUUGUAAACAAACGCGCAGCUGCUCAGACAAGCCUCCAGUGUCUGGCAACAUGGUGUAAUCUGUGACCUGAGGGUUGAGUGAACAUGACAGUCAAUACCAGUGUAUAUUGUUCAUAUAUUGUUCACAAGAUUAUU